Molecule: ribosomal RNA, 597 nt
Filed under: Sarophorus tuberculatus
Lineage: Eukaryota; Metazoa; Arthropoda; Insecta; Coleoptera; Scarabaeidae
Description: eukaryotic LSU rRNA
Rfam family: Eukaryotic large subunit ribosomal RNA
Source: RNAcentral
GAGUCAUUGGGACUCUAACUAAACCUAAAGGCGCAAUGAAAGUGAAGGUCCGCCUCGCGCGGACCGAGGGAGGAUGGGCCGGCCCACGGGCCGACCCCGCACUCCCGGGGCGUCUCGUUCUCAUCGCGAGAAGAGGCGCACCCAGAGCGUACACGCUGGGACCCGAAAGAUGGUGAACUAUGCCUGGUCAGGACGAAGUCAGGGGAAACCCUGAUGGAGGUCCGUAGCGAUUCUGACGUGCAAAUCGAUCGUCGGAACUGGGUAUAGGGGCGAAAGACUAAUCGAACCAUCUAGUAGCUGGUUCCCUCCGAAGUUUCCCUCAGGAUAGCUGGCGCUCGCCGUUGCGAGUCUCAUUCGGUAAAGCGAAUGAUUAGAGGCAUUGGGGUCGAAACGGCCUCAACCUAUUCUCAAACUUUAAAUGGGUGAGAUCUCCGGCUUGCUUGAAAAGUGAAGCCGCGAGACUUAAAUCGGAUCAAUGAGUGCCAAGUGGGCCACUUUUGGUAAGCAGAACUGGCGCUGUGGGAUGAACCAAACGCCGAGUUAAAGCGCCUAAAUCGACGCUUAUGGGAUACCAUGAAAGGCGUUGGUAACUUAAGA